Molecule: non-coding RNA, 184 nt
Filed under: Heyndrickxia sporothermodurans
Lineage: Bacteria; Bacillati; Bacillota; Bacilli; Caryophanales; Bacillaceae
Description: Bacillus sporothermodurans Lysine sequence
Rfam family: Lysine riboswitch aptamer
About the family: Riboswitches are metabolite binding domains within certain messenger RNAs that serve as precision sensors for their corresponding targets. Allosteric rearrangement of mRNA structure is mediated by ligand binding, and this results in modulation of gene expression.
Source: Rfam by way of RNAcentral
AAUAAGGGUAGAGGUGCGAAACUAAAGAGUAGAGGCUUGGAGAAGUAUGAGAUUCGAUGAAAAGCUUUGAAAGGGAGUUUUGCCGAAGCAAAAACAAGGCUCAUUCCUGUUUUUGCUGGUCUAAGCAUUUAAGAAAUGCUGGACUGUCAAGAUGUGUGGUACAUCUUGGAGAGCUAUCUCGCAU